CCUACGGGGGACAGCAGUCGAGAAUCAUUCACAAUGGGGGAAACCCUGAUGGUGCGACGCCGCGUGGGGGAAUGAAGGUCUUCGGAUUGUAAACCCCUGUCAUGUGGGAGCAAAUUAAAAAGAUAGUACCACAAGAGGAAGAGACGGCUAACUCUGUGCCAGCAGCCGCGGUAAUACAGAGGUCUCAAGCGUUGUUCGGAAUCACUGGGCGUAAAGCGUGCGUAGGCUGUUUCGUAAGUCGUGUGUGAAAGGCGCGGGCCCAACCCGCGGACGGCACAUGAUACUGCGAGACAAGAGUAAUGGAGGGGGAACAGGAUUUGGCGGUGUAGCAGUGAAGUGCGAAGAUAUGGAGAGGAACACUCGUG
RNAcentral lists this ribosomal RNA (365 nucleotides) under uncultured bacterium. RNAcentral's name for it is "partial 16S ribosomal RNA". It matches the Rfam family "Bacterial small subunit ribosomal RNA", at positions 338 to 714 of the family's 1533-position model. The record is from RNAcentral.